UGGGGAAUAUUGCACAAUGGGCGCAAGCCUGAUGCAGCCAUGCCGCGUGUAUGAAGAAGGCCUUCGGGUUGUAGAGUACUUUCAGCGGGGAGGAAGGGAGUAAAGUUAAUACCUUUGCUCAUUGACGUUACCCGCAGAAGAAGCACCGGCUAACUCCGUGCCAGCAGCCGCGGUAAUACGGAGGGUGCAAGCGUUAAUCGGAAUUACUGGGCGUAAAGCGCACGCAGGCGGUUUGUUAAGUCAGAUGUGAAAUCCCCGGGCUCAACCUGGGAACUGCAUCUGAUACUGGCAAGCUUGAGUCUCGUAGAGGGGGGUAGAAUUCCAGGUGUAGCGGUGAAAUGCGUAGAGAUCUGGAGGAAUACCGGUGGCGAAGGCGGCCCCCUGGACGAAGACUGACGCUCAGGUGCGAAAGCGUGGGGAGCAAACAGG
This 429-nucleotide ribosomal RNA is filed under the name Chloroflexota bacterium. RNAcentral's name for it is "Chloroflexi bacterium partial 16S ribosomal RNA". It matches the Rfam family "Bacterial small subunit ribosomal RNA", at positions 355 to 776 of the family's 1533-position model. The record is from RNAcentral. Lineage: Bacteria; Bacillati; Chloroflexota.